GAGUUUGAUCUUGGCUCAGGAUGAACGCUAGCUACAGGCUUAACACAUGCAAGUCGAGGGGCAGCAUGGUCUUAGCUUGCUAAGGCCGAUGGCGACCGGCGCACGGGUGAGUAACACGUAUCCAACCUGCCGUCUACUCUUGGACAGCCUUCUGAAAGGAAGAUUAAUACAAGAUGGCAUCAUGAGUCCGCAUGUUCACAUGAUUAAAGGUAUUCCGGUAGACGAUGGGGAUGCGUUCCAUUAGAUAGUAGGCGGGUAACGGCCCACCAAGGCGACGAUCAGUAGCCGGACUAAGAGGUUGAACGGCCACAUUGGAACUGAGACACGGUCCAAACUCCUACGGGAGGCAGCAGUGAGGAAUAUUGGUCAAUGGGCGAGAGCCUGAACCAGCCAAGUAGCGUGAAGGAUGACUGCCCUAUGGGUUGUAAACUUCUUUUAUAAAGGAAUAAAGUCGGGUAUGGAUACCCGUUUGC
RNAcentral lists this ribosomal RNA (473 nucleotides) under uncultured bacterium. RNAcentral's name for it is "bacterial SSU rRNA". It matches the Rfam family "Bacterial small subunit ribosomal RNA", at positions 9 to 472 of the family's 1533-position model. The record is from RNAcentral.